GAUGAACGCUGGCGGCGUGCCUAAUACAUGCAAGUCGAGCGAACGGACGAGAAGCUUGCUUUUCUGAUGUUAGCGGCGGACGGGUGAGUAACACGUGGAUAACCUACCUAUAAGACUGGGAUAACUUCGGGAAACCGGAGCUAAUACCGGAUAAUAUUUUGAACCGCAUGGUUCAAAAGUGAAAGACGGUCUUGCUGUCACUUAUAGAUGGAUCCGCGCUGCAUUAGCUAGUUGGUAAGGUAACGGCUUACCAAGGCAACGAUGCAUAGCCGACCGGAGAGGGUGAUCGGCCACACUGGAGCGGAGACACGGUCCAGACGACUAAGGGAGGCAGCAGUAUGGAAUCGGCCGCAAUGGGCGAAAGCCUGACGGAGCAACGCCGCGUGAGUGAUGAAGAUCUUCCGAUCGUAAUACUCUGUUAUGAGGGAUGAACAUAUGUGUAAGGAGCUGUGCACAGCUUGACGGUACCUAGUCAGAAAGCCACGGCUAACUACGUG
This 497-nucleotide ribosomal RNA is filed under the name uncultured bacterium. RNAcentral describes it as "partial 16S ribosomal RNA". It matches the Rfam family "Bacterial small subunit ribosomal RNA", at positions 28 to 507 of the family's 1533-position model. The record is from RNAcentral.